GACGAACGCUGGCGGCGUGCCUAAUACAUGCAAGUAGAACGCUGAAGCUUGGUGCUUGCACCGAGCGGAUGAGUUGCGAACGGGUGAGUAACGCGUAGGUAACCUGCCUGGUAGCGGGGGAUAACUAUUGGAAACGAUAGCUAAUACCGCAUAACAGUAGAUAUCGCAUGAUAGCUACUUGAAAGGUGCAAAUGCACCACUACCAGAUGGACCUGCGUUGUAUUAGCUAGUUGGUGAGGUAACGGCUCACCAAGGCAACGAUACAUAGCCGACCUGAGAGGGUGAUCGGCCACACUGGGACUGAGACACGGCCCAGACUCCGACGGGAGGCAGCAGUAGGGAAUCUUCGGCAAUGGACGGAAGGCUGACCGAGCAACGCCGCGUGAGUGAAGAAGGUUUUCGGAUCGUAAAGCUCUGUUGUAAGGGAAGAACGAGUGUGAGAGUGGAAAGUUCACACUGUGACGGUAUCUUACCAGAAAGGGACGGCUAACUACGUG
This 497-nucleotide ribosomal RNA is filed under the name uncultured bacterium. RNAcentral's name for it is "partial 16S ribosomal RNA". It matches the Rfam family "Bacterial small subunit ribosomal RNA", at positions 28 to 507 of the family's 1533-position model. The record is from RNAcentral.